This 433-nucleotide ribosomal RNA is filed under the name uncultured bacterium. RNAcentral describes it as "partial 16S ribosomal RNA". It matches the Rfam family "Bacterial small subunit ribosomal RNA", at positions 29 to 507 of the family's 1533-position model. The record is from RNAcentral.
AACGAACGCUGGCGGCAGGCUUAACACAUGCAAGUCGAACGCACCUUUCGGGGUGAGUGGCAGACGGGUGAGUAACGCGUGGGAAUCUACCCUUCUCUACGGGAUAGCUCCGGGAAACUGGAAUUAAUACCGUAUACGUCCUGAGGGAGAAAGAUUUAUCGGGGAAGGAUGAGCCCGCGUUGGAUUAGCUAGUUGGUGGGGUAAAGGCCUACCAAGGCGACGAUCCAUAGCUGGUCUAAGAGGAUGAUCAGCCACAUUGGGAAUGAGACACGGCCCAAACUCCGACGGGAGGCAGCAGUGGGGAAUAUUGGACAAUGGGCGCAAGCCUGAUCCAGCCAUGCCGCGUGAGUGAUGAAGGCCCUAGGGUUGUAAAGCUCUUUCAGUGGGGACGAUAAUGACGGUACCCACAGAAGAAGCCCCGGCUAACUUCGUG